RNAcentral lists this ribosomal RNA (413 nucleotides) under uncultured bacterium. Its description in RNAcentral is "bacterial SSU rRNA". It matches the Rfam family "Bacterial small subunit ribosomal RNA", at positions 505 to 916 of the family's 1533-position model. The record is from RNAcentral.
GUGUCAGCCGCCGCGGUAAUACGAGAGGUCCAAACGUUGUUCGGAUUCACUGGGUGUAAAGGGCGCGUAGGUGGUUGUCUGUGUCUCAUGUGAAAACUCAGGGCUCAACUCUGAGAUGGCGUGGGAAACUAGGCAGCUAGAGGACGGUAGAGGGGAGUGGAAUUCCCGGUGUAGCGGUAAAAUGCGUAGAUAUCGGGAGGAACACCGGUGGCGAAGGCGGCUCUCUGGGCCGAUCCUGACGCUGAGGCGCGAAAGCUAGGGGAGCGAACCGAAUUAGAUACCCGGGUAGUCCUAGCCGUAAACGAUGGGUGCUAGGUGUUGGGGGGUAAAGACCCUUCAGUGCCGAAGCCAACGCGAUAAGCAUCCCACCUGGGGAGUACGGCCGCAAGGUUGAAACUCAAAUGAAUUGGCGG